CGAGGAGCUGUGUGAGCUCCACGCAAGUUUGACGAUUAUUCAUUAAUGUUCUAUGAAUUUUUGAGUUUUGAAAUUUAUGUGUGUGGUGUGUAAUUGAUAAUCUGAAAAAAAAAGACAAAAAAGUUGAAGACAAUGAAAAUAAUAACAUCAAUAAUAAUUAUUACAUAUUUAGUAACCUUAAUCAACACACAUCCCAUCUCUAAGAAUGAAGGUCUACGAUCAAAGACAUUGGAACAUGUCGUAGUCACUGAUAAAGAUGAAGAUCCAGCACUCAGAGGCAAAAGGACUAUUGGUGUAUUACGUCAAUUCUUUCCGGAUAUUACUAAAAUAAUUGAUGAUAAAGUCAACAUGAUAGUGUCUGAGAUCAUACGAGCACUUGGACCAACUGUUUUACGAGGUUUUUUGGGCGGUGGAGCAUUUGGUAAUGGAAAUGGCAAUGAUAGUCCAAGGGAUAAAGAUGAUGGAUCAACUGUGACAAUAGCUGCACCUCCAGAUGGAGAGUUUGAUGAUGAUGAUGACGAUGAUUUUAAUACUGAUUCACAGCAAAAUAAAUCUCGAGUGUCUAUUCCUAUACCAGAAGAUUUAUCAACAUUGAAUUCAAUAGAUACAUCAACUUCUUCGACUAAAUUAUUUACACAGAAUUCUUCUACUACGGAUGAAACUCUAAACGAUACAGAAGGACGUAAACCCCGAAGCGGAAAAUCAAGUAUCAGACGGAGACGUCGCGGAAUCACAGAAGAACGAAAUCAAAGUUCAAUUUGGAAACAGUCAAACAGAUUCAAUAAACGAAGCAUCAGAACCGGGAUUAGCUCCAUUGGAAGAAAUUCAAGUUACAGACGACGACGAGAACAGGAACAAAAGAUUCCUGAAUUUUGGCUUCGGAAGUAGUAAUUUAGCAUCAGGUGGAGGCAGUGGAGGCGGCUCUGGAAACUUUCUCUUUGACAUUAUAAGACAAGCAGCAGACGGGGCGGCAAGAGCGGCUGGGACGGUUUACCGUGUGGUAGCCGGCACACAAAGUCUCGGUCUAGGUCUAAGCGCUUCGCGUGACCUAGGUCCGUCCCCUACACCCGC
RNAcentral lists this unclassified non-coding RNA (1071 nucleotides) under Chelonus insularis. RNAcentral describes it as "uncharacterized LOC118072016, transcript variant X4". The record is from RNAcentral. Lineage: Eukaryota; Metazoa; Arthropoda; Insecta; Hymenoptera; Braconidae.